CUUAGGCCCGCAUUGUAAUUUGCAGAGGAUGCUUUUGGUGAGGUGCCUUCCGAGUUCCCUGGAACGGGACGCCAUAGAGGGUGAGAGCCCCGUAUGGAUGGCCACCAAACCUGUGUAAAGCUCCUUCAACGAGUCGAGUAGUUUGGGAAUGCUGCUCAAAAUGGGAGGUAAAUCUCUUCUAAAGCUAAAUACCGGCCAGAGACCGAUAGCGCACAAGUAGAGUGAUCGAAAGAUGAAAAGCACCUUGAAAAGGGGGUUAAACAGUACGUGAAAUUGUUGAAAGGGAAGCGCUUGUGACCAGACUUGCGCCGGGCGGCUCAUCAGGGGUUCUCCCCUGUGCACUCCGCCCGGCUCAGGCCAGCAUCGGUUCUCGUGGGAGGAUAAGAACGGUAGGAACGUGGCCCCCCUCCGGGGGGGUGUUAUAGCCUACCGUACGAUACUCUCGUGGGGACCGAGGUUCGCGCUCCGCAAGGAUGCUGGC
Molecule: ribosomal RNA, 481 nt
Filed under: Cytospora spiraeicola
Lineage: Eukaryota; Fungi; Ascomycota; Sordariomycetes; Diaporthales; Cytosporaceae
Description: Cytospora sp. XF-2019w partial large subunit ribosomal RNA
Rfam family: Eukaryotic large subunit ribosomal RNA
Source: RNAcentral